ACUUAGGGCUUAAAAACAUGUUCAUCUCUCUCUCACUUUGUGACUCUCUCAGUCUGCGACUGUCUCUGUCUCUCGCAUCUGCCCAACUCCGAUUCUCUCUCUCUCUCUCUCUCUCUCUCUCUCUCUCUCUCUCUCGCUUUUGUCUCCAUUGUCGUUGGUACAGGAGCACCAUCGACAUCGACGCCCGUUGCACAUGAGGACCAUCGCAAACCAACAGCCUAUAUCAUCUUAUCUUGUAGUCACGAUCCAUCAUUGGGGCACUAGCCAAGCAUUUCAGGCUCUUCAGUUAUGGACGGCUCCUCUGUAGUGCAGCAGAGCUCCAAUCAAGACCCGAGCUCCAAUCAAGACCCAAGCUCCCAACAGGUGCCACAAAGUCAGCAGCAGCAAGGGGCUUCCAGUGCUACAUCGUUGCCCACGUCAAGAAUGGGCCAAGUUUCACUUCCCCCUGGCCCACAUGUCCCUGGCUCUUUCAUACAGGAUCCCAAUAAUAUAGCCCAGCUGCAGAAAAAACCCCGAUUGGAUAUCAAGCAGGAAGACAUUAUGCAACAGCAGGUUCUGCAACAACUACUGGAGCGACAGGAAUCCAUGCAAUUACAAACCCACAAUCCUCAGUUACAAGCUUUAAUUCAGCAGCAGAGAAUGCGACAACAGCAGCAACAGUUUCUGCAGUCUAUAUCACCAGUGCAGCGAGCCCACAUACUACAACAAUAGCAACAGCAGCAGCAGCAGCUGCAGUUGAGACAACAACUUCAACAACAGGGUAUGCAACCUAUGUCUUCCAUAAAGCGACCCAAUGAUAAUGGUGUAUGUCCUCGUAGACUAAUGCAAUAUUUAUACCAUCAGCGGCAACGGCCCCCUACCCAUACUAUUGCCUACUGGAGGAAGUUUGUCGCAGAGUACUACUCCCCGCGUGCAAAGAAAAGAUGGUACUUGUCAUUAUAUGAUAAUGUUGGUCAUCAUUCACUAGGUGUUUUCCCCCAGGCAACCAUGAUUGGAAAAAUUGGGACCUUUAGAGUGGGACAAGGUAGUACAUGGACAUGAAGCAUGGAGACUUAUCACUUAUAUUUGGUUGCAUGCUGGUGUUAUUCAUCUGCUAGCAAACAUGUUGAGCUUGGUAUUUAAAUGUGAAGUUUCUUAUUCCCUAAUGCUUUUCAAUUGUUAGAUUCUUGGUCUCAAUUCCCAGCAGAGCAAUAUGCUGGGUUCCAAUUCCCAACUUAGGGAGAUGAUGCAAAACCCAGAAUUCAUUCGUUAAUUGACUUCUCUUGAAACAAUGCAGCAACUCAUGACUUUACAACAAACUCUUUUGUCUCAGCUUGGUCGGCAACCAUCAACCCAGGAAGCGGGUCAAACCGGUGGGGGAACAGUGGAGGUCAUCAUUUAUGAUAGCACCCUGUCUUGCCACAUCUAUAUCAAGUUUUAACAUUCUUGGUUGCAAUCAAUGAGAGGGAACUUGUCAAUGGUUAGUUCUACAAUAGGGAACUCCAAAAGAGUCUUAAGGACUGUUGGUGUGCAGGAACACUUGACAACAUGGGAUUGGAGAUGUUGAUGAAUAUGUUUGGGGGUCUUGGGAUUGGAAGCCCUGCCGUUCCUGUCAGAUCAGAUGUGCCCCCGGGAGAACUGUAUGCCACUUAGCUCUCACAGCUACAAGAAAUGGGCUUCUUUGAUACCCGAGAGAAUAUACAGGCACUGAUAGCCACUGCAGGGAAUGCUCAUGCUGCAGUGGAGCGGCUUUUGGGGAACCCCGCUAGCAGAAGCAGCAAAAACACAAUUUUCACGUGAUUACAGUGAUAACCUUGCUCUUGUCCGGGCUUAUGAGGCCUGGAAAGAAGCUGAAAGAGACGUAGCUGGAUAUGAAUACUGUUGGAAGAAUUUUCUUUUUGCUCAAUCAAUGAAAGCUAUUGAUGCUCUGUGAAGGGAGUUUUACUCUUUACUUAAGGAAUAUGUUUUAAAUUUUAAUGCUAAGUGGAUGUGAAUUCGAUGAUUAUAUAGAUUACAAACGGAUUUUUAAUUGAACGAAUAUGUAGUCUGGAAUUACUUGUGGAUGAAAAUUUAUAAUAGUUGUUGACUUUAAUUAAACAGGUUCAGAGUUUGAUGAUUUAUAUAGUUUGUUGAAUGUUCAUGAUUCAGGUGAAUUGUUGGUUUGAUUGAUUAUUGUAAAUUACAGAUUGUAUUGAAUAGAUUGGAUAGAUUAUUAUGAA
Non-coding RNA from Camellia sinensis, 2198 nucleotides. The record is from RefSeq and is a predicted model, not a curated record. Lineage: Eukaryota; Viridiplantae; Streptophyta; Magnoliopsida; Ericales; Theaceae.